UACGUAGGGUGCAAGCGUUAAUCGGAAUUACUGGGCGUAAAGCGUGCGCAGGCGGUCUUGUAAGUCUGUUGUGAAAUCCCCGGGCUCAACCUGGGAAUUGCGAUGGAGACUGCAAGGCUAGAAUCUGGCAGAGGGGGGUAGAAUUCCACGUGUAGCAGUGAAAUGCGUAGAGAUGUGGAGGAACACCGAUGGCGAAGGCAGCCCCCUGGGUCAAGAUUGACGCUCAUGCACGAAAGCGUGGGGAGCAAACAGG
RNAcentral lists this ribosomal RNA (253 nucleotides) under uncultured bacterium. RNAcentral's name for it is "partial 16S ribosomal RNA". It matches the Rfam family "Bacterial small subunit ribosomal RNA", at positions 524 to 776 of the family's 1533-position model. The record is from RNAcentral.